Phalacrocorax carbo (great cormorant) is the source of this 1340-nucleotide non-coding RNA. The record is from RefSeq and is a predicted model, not a curated record. NCBI's taxonomy places the organism in Eukaryota, Metazoa, Chordata, Aves, Suliformes, Phalacrocoracidae.
AGUAAGCAAAGAAAACCACAUCUGUUAAUCGCUUUUCCUUCACAAAAUCCACUUAUUUCAUAAACACUAACGCCGAGUUGUGUAACAAGGGGCUAGGAGGGUGAGUCGAUGUUGCUCACGUUGAGGUUUGGCCUCUAAAUACAGGUCGCCUGCUGGAGAGCCGUUGUUGGUGUCAGGGGUCAGUAUAAACAGCGUUUAGAGUUUGCUUUUUCAGAGGGAGCUUUCUGUUGUUGUAGGGAUAAUUUUUUUUUUGGCCUUGGACCCUUUCUCUUCUGCCAGGAGUUCAACACGAUCCUUUGUCAUUCUCUGGGGAAGCUUUCAAACUCACCACUGUGGUUUUGAAUCGGCUUUCAAUAAAAGGUGUCGUGCUUCUGAAGUGCCCUGCCCAAGGGCUCUAGAGCACUCCACACAAUCCAAACAGCCAGCAGACAAAGCCAUUAAAUGUGAAGUGCCUGUGCGUGAUUACCUGGCAGAAAGCUGCAGGAGAGUGUUUGCAGCUGAGUCCCACAGGAAUAGGCUUUGUCUGAAAAACCACCCUCAGCAGGUGAUAACUCCGGAAAAAGUCAAGAGUGAAACCCCGUAAGUGUAACUCCUCUACUGCCUCUGAGCUCCUCCAGCCUCCAUCUCCUGGCAGCUCUUCAAUUCUGAACACGUAGCUUCAUUUUACCUUAGCACGACACCAACUGGAGCAGCUUCUUUCAGGGCUGCUGAUGUCUCUCCUGUAUCUCCCUGCUGGUCAUCCAAGGCUUGUCCUGCAGCUGCGGAGGAUCAGGCAGGUCUGUGCCUGGGAGCAGGGACCUCGGUGUCAUGGAGGGAUACCAUGAGAUCUCCAAGCUCCAGUCCUCAGCCUGCAGCCUGGAGGAGAAAGCCAAAGCAGGCAGAUUUAACAGCCACAGCAGGAGAGGAGGGAAUCCCUCCCUUCCAGGAGGGCAGGCAUGCUGCAAGCAGCACUCGGACAUGUCAGAUCCCACGGAUGCUGAGCCAUUCCCCCUUUCUCCAUCCAAGCCGCUUCCUAACAGGGAGAGAGGGGUCAAAUCAAAGGCGGCAGGAUUAUUUAUCAAGGUGUUUGUUUGAAGUUGAGGGGACAGGAAUCACAUUUCAAAACUGUAAGAGAAAGAGCUUUUUAGCUCUCUUCCUUUCUCCAAAAUAGCAACCGCAUCACCGCGCACCACAGGGAUGUCAGGGCGAAUCUGUUUCACUGACAACAAGAUUGUUCUGUCUAGACAGGGAAGCACUGAUGAACUGAGUGAGUCUGCAGAAUAAUUUAAAGCCCAAAUACUUAACAGACAUUAAAUUUAAAAUAAAACCAUGGCUUGGCAGAGAUGAUGCUUGAUGGAUAG